This 614-nucleotide ribosomal RNA is filed under the name uncultured bacterium. Its description in RNAcentral is "bacterial SSU rRNA". It matches the Rfam family "Bacterial small subunit ribosomal RNA", at positions 338 to 946 of the family's 1533-position model. The record is from RNAcentral.
CCUACGGGAGGCAGCAGUGGGGAAUUUUGGACAAUGGGGGCAACCCUGAUCCAGCAAUGCCGCGUGAGUGAAGAAGGCCUUCGGGUUGUAAAGCUCUUUUGUCAGGGAAGAAACAGCAGCUCUAACACAGACUGCGAAUGACGGUACCUGAAGAAUAAGCACCGGCUAACUACGUGCCAGCAGCCGCGGUAAUACGUAGGGUGCGAGCGUUAAUCGGAAUUACUGGGCGUAAAGCGUGCGCAGGCGGUUACACAAGACAGGCGUGAAAUCCCCGGGCUUAACCUGGGAAUGGCGUCUGUGACUGUAUAGCUAGAGUGUGUCAGAGGGGGGUUGGAAUUCCACGUGUAGCAGUGAAAUGCGUAGAUAUGUGGAGGAACACCAAUGGCGAAGGCAGCCCCCUGGGAUAACACUGACGCUCAUGCACGAAAGCGUGGGGAGCAAACAGGAUUAGAUACCCUGGUAGUCCACGCCCUAAACGAUGCUGACUAGUUGUUGGGAAUUUACAUUCUCAGUAACCGUAGCUAACGCGUGAAGUCAGCCGCCUGGGGAUACGGUGCAGNUUAAACGUCAAAGGAUUGACGGCUGAGACGNGCGAGGCGACGACGAGGGAGGAG